Molecule: ribosomal RNA, 497 nt
Filed under: uncultured bacterium
Lineage: Bacteria
Description: partial 16S ribosomal RNA
Rfam family: Bacterial small subunit ribosomal RNA
Source: RNAcentral
GAUGAACGCUGGCGGCGUGCCUAAUACAUGCAAGUCGAGCGAUAAGAUGAGGAGUUUGCCCCUCUGACGUUAGCGGCGGACGGGUGAGUAACAACUGGAUAAACUAUCUAUAAGACUGGGAUACAUUCGGGCACCCGUAGCUACUACCGGCUAAUAUCUUAAACCGCAUGGUUCCAUAGUGCACGCCGGUUUUGCUGUUACUUAUAGAUGGAUCCGCGCCUCAUUAGCUAGUUGGUGAGGUAACGGCUUACCAAGUCAACGAUACGUAACGGACAUGAGAGGAUGACCUGCCACAAUGGAACUGAGACACGGUCCAGACUCCUACGGGAGGCAGCAGUAGGGAAUCUUGCGCAAUGGGCGAAAGCCUGACGGAGCAACGCCGCGUGAGUGAUGAAGGUCUUCGGAUCGUAAAACUCUUUUAUUAGGAAAGAAAAAAUGUGUAAUAAACUAUGCACGUCGUGACGGUACCUAAACAGUAAGCCACGGCUAACUACGUG